This 467-nucleotide ribosomal RNA is filed under the name uncultured bacterium. RNAcentral describes it as "partial 16S ribosomal RNA". It matches the Rfam family "Bacterial small subunit ribosomal RNA", at positions 29 to 507 of the family's 1533-position model. The record is from RNAcentral.
ACGAACGCUGGCGGCGUGCUUAACACAUGCAAGUCGAACGGAAAGGCCCUGCUUUUGGGGGGUGCUCGAGUGGCGAACGGGUGAGGAACACGGGAGUAACCUGCCCUUGACUUUGGGAUAACGUCAGGAAACUGGGGCUAAUACCGGAUAGGAGCUCCUGCUGCAUGGGGGGGGUUGGAAAGUUUCGGCGGUUGGGGAUGGCCUCGCGGCUUAUCAGCUUGUUGGGGGGGUAGUGGCUUACCAAGGCUUUGCCGGGUAGCCGGCCUGGGAGGGUGACCGGCCACAUUGGGACUGAGAUACGGCCCAGACUCCUACGGGAGGCAGCAGUGGGGAAUAUUGCACAAUGGGCGGAAGCCUGAUGCAGCAACGCCGCGUGCGGGAUGACGGCCUUCGGGUUGUAAACCGCUUUCGCCUGUGACGAAGCGUGAGUGACGGUAAUGGGUAAAGAAGCACCGGCUAACUACGUG